AGAGUUUGAUCCUGGCUCAGGACGAACGCUGGCGGCGUGCUUAACACAUGCAAGUCGAACGAAGAGCGAUGGGAGCUUGCUCCUAUCAAUCUUAGUGGCGAACGGGUGAGUAACGCGUAAUCAACCUACCCUUCAAUGGGGGACAACAGUUGGAAACGACUGCUAAUACCGCAUACGAUCGUAAUUCGGCAUCGAGAUACGAUGAAAGGUGGCCUCUAUUUAUAAGCUAUCGUUGAAGGAGGGGAUUGCGUCUGAUUAGCUAGUUGGAGGGGUAACGGCCCACCAAGGCAAUGAUCAGUAGCCGGUCUGAGAGGAUGAACGGCCACAUUGGGACUGAGACACGGCCCAAACUCCUACGGGAGGCAGCAGUGGGGAAUCUUCCGCAAUGGACGAAAGUCUGACGGAGCAACGCCGCGUGAGUGAUGAAGGUCUUCGGAUUGUAAAGCUCUGUUAAUCGGGACGAAAGAGCCUAGUGUGAAUAAUGCUAGGAAGUGACGGUACCGGAAUAGAAAGCCACGGCUAACUACGUGCCAGCAGCCGCGGUAA
This 546-nucleotide ribosomal RNA is filed under the name uncultured bacterium. RNAcentral's name for it is "bacterial SSU rRNA". It matches the Rfam family "Bacterial small subunit ribosomal RNA", at positions 8 to 523 of the family's 1533-position model. The record is from RNAcentral.